CAGCGAUGAGUGACAUUCCUGGGAUGCAGGAUGCAGAGCUCUCAAGCUCCAUGCAUGACAAACUAGCAUUUUAAUAAUGGGGAAGGAGGAAGGGGAGCAGUGCAGAGCCAUGUCCGCAGCAUGUGUUUUCCUCCCAGGCUUUUGGAGUCCUGUCACCCCAUACACUCUGACCCCUAAAACACUCAACAUCAUCCAUCUAGGUGUAUAAAAACUGCCUGCAGUGUUAGAUGGGAUACCAAAUCCUCUCGAUGCUGUUAAUCCAUGUUUUUCCACAAGGGCCCCAGGUGCUCCCUGCUGGUGAUUUUUUUGGCCUGUGCAGCAGGAACAGGCAGCAGCUGUGUAAGGUGGGGAGGGAGCUCCCCUGUGCUCCCCAAACCCUGCCUGCCUUGGGUUCUCAUGCUGUUGGAGGCAGCUCCUCUUCCCUGCAGCACCUGCAAGGCUGGGCUGAGGAGAAGGCACUCCAGUCUCAUUCCCACCCCACGAGAUGGUUUGGGAUCUACCACUGGUGUUGACAUCCUGACUGAAUCUCAGACUCCUGGGCUUCACUGCAGCUGGACAACCCUCACCCCAUACAGAGAGGCAGGUCAGCACCUGGCAGGACCAGUUUUAUUGCUGCAUCCCUCCUGUGGAGAAAGAGGGCUUGCCCACUCUCAUGAACUUCAAAACAUCAUUCUGUAUUUCAUUUAAGAACAAGCCUUGAGAGCCUGGGAAGGAAAGAGAACUAACAGAAGUAGUCAACCCCCUGUGUUUGCUAUGAGAAACCACAGAAGGUGGUAUGGUUUUGUAAGGAGGCAAUGGGAGCAAUGUUUUAUUUAUGGAUAAGUGCAUGUCUGUCUGUCUUGUGCCUUCAGAUUUAUCUUUAUACUGACUGUUGUUUCUUGUUUCCACAAUUUAUACAGUAGCCUUCAGUAAUUGUCCUGGGAUUUGACAAAUCACUCUUGGAAGAAUGAAUUGCUAGUACUGUUAAACAAACGUGAAAAGAAUUAUUCUCUUUCCAACAUUUCUUGAAAUUAAAUUUUAGCCCUGGUGUGCUCAACUAC
This is a long non-coding RNA of Passer montanus (Eurasian tree sparrow), 1040 nucleotides long. RefSeq lists it as uncharacterized. The transcript is spliced from 2 exons. Lineage: Eukaryota; Metazoa; Chordata; Aves; Passeriformes; Passeridae. The record is from RefSeq and is a predicted model, not a curated record.